AGUGACCGCUGGCGGCGUGCCUAAUACAUGCAAGUCGAACGAAGUGGCGCACGGGUGAGUAAUAUAUAGUUAAUCUGCCCUACACAGAGGAACAACAGUUGGAAACGACUGCUAAUACCCAAGAGUGUAGGAUGAGACUAUAUCGUAUCAGCUAGUUGGUAAGGUAAUGGCUUACCACGGCUAUGACGCGUAACUGGUCUGAGAGGAUGAUCAGUCACAUUCGAAGUGCGACACCGUCCGAGCUCCUACGGGAGGCAGCAGUAAUGUAUAAUACGCAAUGGGGGGAACCCUGACGCAGCAACGCCGCGUGGAGGAUGAGACUUUUCGGAGCGUAAACUCCUUUUAUCAGGAAAGCGGUACCUGUUGAAUAUGCACCGGCUAACUCCGUGCCAGCAGCCGCGGUAAUUC
This 408-nucleotide ribosomal RNA is filed under the name uncultured bacterium. RNAcentral describes it as "partial 16S ribosomal RNA". It matches the Rfam family "Bacterial small subunit ribosomal RNA", at positions 29 to 526 of the family's 1533-position model. The record is from RNAcentral.